This 2417-nucleotide small RNA is filed under the name Pongo abelii (Sumatran orangutan). RNAcentral's name for it is "retained intron". The record is from RNAcentral. Lineage: Eukaryota; Metazoa; Chordata; Mammalia; Primates; Hominidae.
AUUCAUCUUGGAACCGGGCAAUUGGCAUUUCCGCUCUGGAUAGUACAUCUUUAACAUAAUGUUAGGGAAGUAUCCGUUCUUGGCUGCCGUUCUUUAAUUGCGUUUCCAGUACUCUCUAGGUGAUUCUACUCUCGAACAUAGGAUGAAAUUUGGAAUCACACUUCUCUUCCACUUCCACCCCCACCCUCUAAUGCCCAUAUUAAAAAUGGCGGCCGCCGCCUUCCGCGGUGAUAGUUGUUCAGCGAACAAGAUCCGGGCGGAAACAGUAGGUAGGCGGGUGCAGCGGGGCAGAACCUAGGUUGCCUUAGAGAGGUUCUCCGGUGUCCCGAGGGCGGCUUAAGUCAGAGUUGUUGGGUUUUGCUCAGAUUGGUGUGGGAAGAGCCUGCCUGUGGGGAGCGGCCACUCCGUACUGCUGAGGCCUCAGGACUGCUGCUCAGCUUGCCCGUUACCUGAAGAGGCGGCGGAGCCGGGCCCCUGACCGGUCACCAUGUGGGCCUUCUCGGAAUUGCCCAUGCCGCUGCUGAUCAAUUUCAUCGUCUCGCUGCUGGGAUUUGUGGCCACAGUCACCCUUAUCCCGGCCUUCCGGGGCCACUUCAUUGCUGCGCGCCUCUGUGGUCAGGACCUCAACAAAACCAGUCGACAGCAGAUGUGAGCAGCGGCACACGGGUCCGGGCAGGGGGCAAGGGCUAAGGAAGGAGUGGCUAGGGCAGGGGCGGGGACCGGGGUGCUUGACCACACGUGAAGACCCAGAACUAACCCAGGCAGCCUGGAACUCGGAGAGGUGAUGAGCAGAACUUACUCGCAUUGGGGAAAGGAUGGGUAGGGACCCUUGGGUAUAUCUGGGACUGUGGCAGUGGUGCUUUCCUCCCUCCGCCCCCCUCACCACUUACCAAAAUAAAAAACCGGGAAUAAGAAGACCACUUUGGGUUAUUGUAACACCUGCACUAGUGAGUGACCACGCCCCUUUCCUCUUCCCCCUCGCCCCCUUGCUGCUGGGCCGCAGCCCAGAAUCCCAGGGAGUGAUCAGCGGUGCUGUUUUCCUUAUCAUCCUCUUCUGCUUCAUCCCUUUCCCCUUCCUGAACUGCUUUGUGAAGGAGCAGUGUAAGGCAUUCCCCCACCAUGAAGAAUCCUGUACUAUGUCUACAUGGGGCUGCUGGCAGUGUUCUGUACCAAUGCCAUCAAUAUCCUAGCAGGAAUUAACGGCCUAGAGGCUGGCCAGUCACUAGUCAUUUCUGCUUCCAUCAUUGUCUUCAACCUGGUAGAGUUGGAAGGUGAUUGUCGGGAUGAUCAUGUCUUUUCCCUCUACUUCAUGAUACCCUUUUUUUUCACCACUUUGGGAUUGCUCUACCACAACUGGUACCCAUCACGGGUGUUUGUGGGAGAUACCUUCUGUUACUUUGCUGGCAUGACCUUUGCCGUGGUGGGCAUCUUGGGACACUUCAGCAAGACCAUGCUACUAUUCUUCAUGCCCCAGGUGUUCAACUUCCUCUACUCACUGCCUCAGCUCCUGCAUAUCAUCCCCUGCCCUCGCCACCGCAUACCCAGACUCAAUAUCAAGACAGGCAAACUGGAGAUGAGCUAUUCCAAGUUCAAGACCAAGAGCCUCUCUUUCUUGGGCACCUUUAUUUUAAAGGUGGCAGAGAGCCUCCGGCUGGUGACAGUACACCAGAGUGAGACUGAAGAUGGUGAAUUCACUGAAUGUAACAACAUGACCCUCAUCAACUUGCUACUUAAAAUCUUUGGGCCCAUACAUGAGAGGAACCUCACAUUGCUCCUGCUGCUGCUGCAGGUGAGGAUGGGGAUCGAGUUUAUACCUCCUUGUCUCCCUUUCUGCGUGAUUCUUACUCCAGUCCAUUUCUCCUUGCAGAUCCUGGGCAGUGCCAUCACCUUCUCCAUUCGGUAUCAGCUCGUUCGACUCUUCUAUGAUGUCUGAGUCCCUUGAUCAUUGUCCUUUACCUCACAGUCUCUAGGAUUCCUGACUCAGGCUGACCUCUCUCUGGUCCCAGACUGCCUCCUUGCCCAGGCCUCUCUCACUCUUCAUACUCUUCCAGAUUUUGUUCUCAGCAUUUUCCUUUCCCUGUGAUCAUUGGCAUCCUAGGCGUUUCUUGCCCUCUGCUGACUACUGAUUGGAUUUUACCUAUGGCUUUCUGCAACUUGCUACUCUCUCCCUCUCCAUCCCAUCUUUGCAGCCUCAUAGGGUGGGAUACAGCAGCUUUUUUGCAGUUAUCCACACUCACAUUUCAGAGUCCUGACUCUCAAGGAACUACGGGUUUUUGGGAUAGAGCUUGGGCCAGGGCUAGGGACACAGCCUUCAUGGUGACAUGUCAUUUGAUUGUAAAUUAAGUGUUCUGAUUAGUAAGAACUAAGCAGGGGGCCACAUGCUCUCAAUGGAGACAAUAAAGUGUUGUCUUUUUCUU